Molecule: ribosomal RNA, 414 nt
Filed under: Triticum aestivum (bread wheat)
Lineage: Eukaryota; Viridiplantae; Streptophyta; Magnoliopsida; Poales; Poaceae
Description: partial small subunit ribosomal RNA
Source: RNAcentral
AUGACUGUGACGCUCCAGGAUAUGGCUAUGAUCACCGGUCUUCCUAUCGAUGGGAAUCCUCUAUGUAUGAACACCGAUUCUGAUGGGUGGCGCGUGCAGAUGCAUGCCCUUAUCAGUAUGGUUCCUCGGGAGCCUCGGGAACCAGAAGCAGAAGAUAAGAAGAAGGAAAGAGUCGCAACCAUUGCUCCUUUCACGUGGAUUACAUCGCACUUUGGAACUUUCCCUGAGGAAGGUAAUGAGGACACGGUCAAGACAUAUGCUCGUGUCUACAUGUGGUACGUGAUAUCCAGGACUAUGUUUGCUGAUGGCACAGGCAAGAAUGCUCCAUGGACGUGGCUGAAGGCGUUGACCGUCUUUGAUAGCAAAUGGAGUUGGGGUUCGGCGACACUGGCUUACUUAUAUAGACAGGUAUGA